GAUGAAGAACGCAGUGAAAUGCGAUAAGUAAUGUGAAUUGCAGAAUCUCGUGAAUCAUCGAAUCUUUGAACGCACAUUGCGCCCUAUGGAAUUCUGUAGGGCAUGCCUGUCUGAGCAUCAGCAGCAAAAAAAUCAAAAUCUUUGUAGGUAAAGAUUUGGAUUUGGUUAAGAGAUGUAAUCUGUAAAGAACCGGUUACUCUUUUGAAAUUUAAAGGCAGUAUUGAUCAAUCCAACUGUAAACGUGAUAAAACAUUUCGUUUUAUUGUUAGGAAUGAGCUUUUUGCUUGCCUAUAAACCCACUCAUCUUCAUGGGUGACCUCAGAUCAGGUAGGGAUACCCGCUGAACUUAAGCAUAUCAAUAAGCGGAGGA
Molecule: unclassified non-coding RNA, 370 nt
Filed under: soil metagenome
Description: partial contains 5.8S ribosomal RNA, internal transcribed spacer 2, and large subunit ribosomal RNA
Rfam family: 5.8S ribosomal RNA (bases 1-120)
Source: RNAcentral